Phascolarctos cinereus (koala) is the source of this 3741-nucleotide RNA transcript. It is a transcript of the gene named cell division cycle associated 2, with no coding region annotated. The record is from RefSeq and is a predicted model, not a curated record. Lineage: Eukaryota; Metazoa; Chordata; Mammalia; Diprotodontia; Phascolarctidae.
CGGAGGCGCUCGUGAUGGGGCGGGGCACGCUGCCGGCCGUUUGAACCUGGCGGCGGGACAUGGCAGCGGCGGCGACCAGGAGAUGGAUGUCAUUUCAGAAGUUGCGGAUGGCCUUGAAAUCAAGGAACCUGUUAUUAAUGGUAUUGAAAAUAGGUCUUUAGUUGAUGAGAAACUUUUACUGCACCAAGAACAAGAAGCAGCAGUAGACCUAGCUUUCAGGACACCGGAUAAACUCAAGACCCCAGUGAACUUUUCUAUGGUAACAGUGGAGCAGCUUGCAAUUACACCAGAGAGUUUUGUGAAGAAUUCACCAGGAAAAUCCUUGCUAAAAAAAUCCAGGCGCCGAUCCACAAUUGGAGUCAGAGGUUCUCCUGAAACAAAUCUUCUCAUUAGAUACAUUGCUCAGCAAAGGAAUUUAAAAAAUGCAAAUGAUUCUCCUUUGGUGGAGGCUUCUCCUUCAAUACAGCAGGCCAGCCCAUUUCGAUACAGAAAUGGUGAUUCGUUAAGAGAGCGAAUUUCUGCCUUCCAAUCUGCUUUUCACCCAGUAAAGGAAAACGAAGGAGAGUCUGGACAUUCAGGGCCAGAGGGAGAAUUUCAAGCAGCAGACUGCACUAAGAACAAAAGCCUCAAACGUCGUGACCAGCCCAAGCUGUGUGGAGAGUUACCAUCCAAGCGCAGGCGAGCGUCUCACCAGAGAGACUUAAAAGAAAAUAUAGCUAAUGGUGAAAAAAAGUUGACUGACAUCCAGAUAUGCCAUAUUACUACUUUUCCUGACACAAGCCAAACUUAUACCUGUGAAACUUCUGUGACAGCUCAUUCUAAGGAAUCUUAUUGUGAUCCGUCCAUUGUCGCACAGUCUGGAUGCUCAGUUUUAGAGGAUACUUCACUGAAAAGUCUCUCAGGGACUACAAGGGGGAAGGACAUAGCUGGAUGUGCAGAGGAAGAAAAAGCAAGUAGUGCUGCUUCCAGACCUCGUGGAAGGAGAGGCAGAGCUGGGAAAGAACUGAGCACAGAGCCGUUCCAUGAGAUCAUGCCACCAGUCGCACCUGUGUAUGAGGGGGAUUUUUCGUCUUGUAAGUCCUCUUUCCUUCGCUCUGUGCUGAAGAAGACCCCCGUGAAACUGCUCCUGGAAAGCUUACAGGAGCAUUGUGACACCACUGGGUAUGAUGGAAAGCAAUCACUCUCAUUCUCAGAUCUUUCGAAGGGUUGUGAAGAACUGAAAAAAGAAAAAAGCAGUUUAAAAGACCAAAAAACAUGGCACAGAAAGAGAGUUACUUUUGGAGAAGAGCUAAGCCCUGAAGUAUUUGACGAAUCAUUGCCAGCAAAUACCCCGCUGCGUAAAGGCGGCACGCCUGCUCGACAACAAGAUGUAAGAAGCAUUCAUCCUCCCUUUUUCCCAAGGCUGCCCAUUUCGGAGGCAAUAUCUCAACCAAACUUUGAAGAGCCAGAACAGAAUCUUGUAAACAUGGAGCCACUUGAAGUGUCUUUUGCAGUCCUAGGACCUGCUACUGAUUCUUCAUCCUCUGAAACUCUUGAAGACACUGAUGCUGUUAAUUCUUCAAAUAAGUGUGAAAAAAUUUCCCCUUCCAAAGUUGAUAGGAUAACACGAUCCUCUAGCAAAAGGAAGAUUUUAUAUUUGCUACAGCAGUCAGGUCAUGUUACUGAAGAGGCUGAUUUUAGCAACCUAGUUAGCACAGAUGUUAAGCGUGAGAGAGAAAGGAAAUGCAGUAAGAAGAAAGCACCAAGAACAAAGAACAGUAACAGAACAGCAUCAAAAAAGAUGCAGGUGUUAAAAAAUUGCAGAAGGAGGAAAGGAAAAGUAAAGAGGUUACAGAAAUCUUUCUGUGGCCUAAGAGAGGUAGCCUCUAAGAAACCUCUUCUGAGUCCUAUUCCUGAGAUCCCCGAGACCCCUUCUACAACAACACCCAGUACACAGAGAAUGCCGAUUCUGUGGUACUCAGAUUGUCUUGAUUUGCCAAAAGAGGAUUACAACACUUCCAAAGAUAGAGAUAAAGAUGCCAUGAACUCUGACCCAAAUAAAUCAGUUGGAAAACCCAGAAGUAGAUAUUUGCCCCAGAACCCGGAAACCUUGGCUCCAUCUUACAAAGAAGAAGACACCUCUGAAUGUUUCAGUUCUGAUAGAGAAAAUGACCCACCCUUUGGUCUUGUGACUUUUGAACAGGGUUCAAAUGCAAGUACAAUAGCAGCUUAUGGAAGUGGCCGUGUUCAAUGUGCCAACAAGCUGGAGCAUCAAGACCACGCAGAGAAAAGGACUAAGAACCGAGACAUCUGUCUUCUUUCUCCAGCGUUAACUCUUGCAGUAGAAGAAGAAAUGACUCCAGGUGUCCCACAGUCCAGUUGUUUUCUGUUGCAGCCCCUGCAGUCUGCCGCUGUUAUUCCAAAUAUGGAAAGUGUUUGUGAAUCUGAAGGUGUUGAUGACACACAGCACGUCGAAGAGCUGAGCACAUCCUGUGAAGAGCAAAAAGAUGCUUUAAUAGCCUCUGAAGGAAGACCGAAGAGCAGUCAUUCAGCAGAUGCUCCAAAGGCAGAAUUGAGUCAUCGAGAAGAUGCUGUCAUAGAUGAAGAUGGGGAACAAAUCCUGAGUCAUGGCCAAGAGUUGAAACAAAGAAAACCAGAAGCAAACAGUGGCAUCUUGACUUACAAAAAUCUUAUAAAGAGGCGGAGAAGAAGCUCUAUUUAUUGUCCAGCUGAUGAGAACAUCCAUUUUGAAGAACCUGGGAAUCAGUCUCCUACCUGCCGUCCGAUGGAAGAAUCUGACAGUUCUGAACUCUUUAACAAUUUAACCGAGUCUAUCAAACAAGCUUUUAGGAGAUUAAACGCUAGUGGAACAAGAGUAAGACGCAGCACAAGACUGAGAAGAAAUUCAGAAAGUCAGGGUCUCAUUUGGGUUUCACUUCCAGGCCCCUCUACUUCCUCUGCUUCUCACAAAGCCAAAAGGAGGACAGUGUGUUUGUCUACUACCAGAGAAUUUGAAGAUCUGUCCUACACACAAGGGCCCUGUCUCUUGUCUUCUAUCUCAGACAGAGAAAACUCUGAGAAUGAUUCUGUGUCUGAUGCUUCUCAUGGAGCCAGGAGGAAGAGCUUUUGUGUGUCUGCUUUUUCAGAGACCAGACGUGCCUCUCGACCCAAAUACUACAGGAAAACAAGCUGUUCUCAUAGGAAUGAGGAAAACCACCCAAAUGACUUAGAAAAAAUGGAAGUAUUGGAGAAUCCAAACAAUUUCUGACAUUUCCAGCAUUCGUUUUAUGAGGGGGAAGGUAACUCUAUAUGUUUAAGAGAUAUCUACAUCUGACUAAUUAGCCUUUACUAACAGGGAGGGGAAAAUAUUCGAUAACAAUAGGCAGUUUUCCCAAAAACAGAAGAUCUGAAGAAUAAAAGCAACUUAGAAGCAAUUUCAUCCAACAAACUCUGUGUUGUAAAGAUUUUAAAUGUUAAGAUUUCUGUGUUUGAUCAUGCUUGUUUGCUUUUACUGUUUUUUCAUGGGUGGUAAAAACGAAGAUCAUGAUGUACUUAUGUUGUGUUCAUUUUUUCUGACUAACUUGCUUCCGAACAUCUUUACUGUUAGUACAUUUUCUUGAAAUCUCCCUGUAUCCUAAAAAUUUUAAGUUAGACUCUUUGAAUUGCUUUUUAUGUUGAUGUAAAUUCUCAUUUGUACCAGAAGAUGGCAGCCUGACCUGAGACUUUUUGUGUAUUUAAUUAUAAAUCCAGGGCAACACCUGA